This 73-nucleotide transfer RNA is filed under the name Azohydromonas caseinilytica. It matches the Rfam family "tRNA". From Rfam's summary of the family: Transfer RNA (tRNA) molecules are approximately 80 nucleotides in length. Their secondary structure includes four short double-helical elements and three loops (D, anti-codon, and T loops). Further hydrogen bonds mediate the characteristic L-shaped molecular structure. tRNAs have two regions of fundamental functional importance: the anti-codon, which is responsible for specific mRNA codon recognition, and the 3' end, to which the tRNAs corresponding amino acid is attached (by aminoacyl-tRNA synthetases). tRNAs cope with the degeneracy of the genetic code in two manners: having more than one tRNA (with a specific anti-codon) for a particular amino acid; and 'wobble' base-pairing, i.e. permitting non-standard base-pairing at the 3rd anti-codon position. Lineage: Bacteria; Pseudomonadati; Pseudomonadota; Betaproteobacteria; Burkholderiales; Sphaerotilaceae. The record is from Rfam by way of RNAcentral.
GGGCUCUUAGCUCAGCUGGUAGAGCAGCGGACUCUUAAUCCGUUGGUCGUAGGUUCGAAUCCUACAGGGCCCA